AACGUUGUCUUGUCGUCGUUCUGUCUGUUACAGCAUAUAUACAGAAGUGAUUCCUUUGUUCUAGUUAGAUCUCUCGUCUGAGUUCUCCAUCUGCACAGAUGUAAUAAAGCUGUGUUUUGUUCCCUCUUUUUAACAAGGUUUUGUCAUAAAGCGUGGUGGUGAGGUGGUGAGGCAGCAAACGGGAACCCAGGGUGUGGUGAAAAAUGAUAUUUAAUGAAGGAGAUAAAUCCACAAAAUUCUGGCGGCACGGCUGAGCGGAAGCCAGGGCUCACACCGGUAGCAACAGAAUUAACACCGUGGCAAACAAAACAGGCAGACUGAGUGACGCGACAAUCAACGAGGACCCGACGAAGACACAGACACACAGGUGGGCAGUUUCUGGGGAAAUUAUGAAAGUGAAACUACUGCCAGGUGCAACAAAAGCUCAAAGGAGAUGAAGUGGAGUGAGCUGGAUUCCAUCUCCAUAGGAGUAACACCUGAACCAAUGCAGGAAACAUCCAGCUUCAUUAAAUCUCCCCUCAGGUCCACAAACAGCCCCAGCCUCUGAACUACAGGAGAAACUCUCCUGUGUGCAGCUCCUCGCGUUUCAGCAUCAGGCUCCACUAAUGGCUACUUCCCCGCACCACAGCAGGUUCGACAGACAAUAGAAAGACGAGGCUACGCUUCCCUGAAUUUCCCCAAGUGAAAUAAAGCGUUUUGUGAAAGCGAGAUCCAUUGUUUGUAUUUAGUGGGACACCUUGCAGCAUCUUGGCGAUAUUAACUGAACAGAAGGUGAACCCUG
Gambusia affinis (western mosquitofish) is the source of this 781-nucleotide long non-coding RNA. RefSeq lists it as uncharacterized. Lineage: Eukaryota; Metazoa; Chordata; Actinopteri; Cyprinodontiformes; Poeciliidae. The record is from RefSeq and is a predicted model, not a curated record. The transcript is spliced from 4 exons.